Molecule: ribosomal RNA, 427 nt
Filed under: uncultured Paenibacillaceae bacterium
Lineage: Bacteria; Bacillati; Bacillota; Bacilli; Caryophanales; Paenibacillaceae
Also listed under: 1 other name
Description: partial 16S ribosomal RNA
Rfam family: Bacterial small subunit ribosomal RNA
Source: RNAcentral
UAGGGAAUCUUCCGCAAUGGGCGAAAGCCUGACGGAGCAACGCCGCGUGAGUGAGGAAGGUCUUCGGAUCGUAAAGCUCUGUUGCCAGGGAAGAAGUCUUGGGAGAGUAACUGCUCUCAAGGUGACGGUACCUGAGAAGAAAGCCCCGGCUAACUACGUGCCAGCAGCCGCGGUAAUACGUAGGGGGCGAGCGUUGUCCGGAAUUAUUGGGCGUAAAGCGCGCGCAGGCGGUUUUGUAAGUCCGAUUGUUUAAACCCGGGGCUCAACCUCGGGUCGCAAGGGAAACUGCAAGACUUGAGUGCAGGAGAGGGAAGCGGAAUUCCAUGUGUAGCGGUGAAAUGCGUAGAGAUAUGGAGGAACACCAGUGGCGAAGGCGGCUUCCUGGCCUGUAACUGACGCUGAGGCGCGAAAGCGUGGGGAGCAAACA